CCUACGGGAGGCAGCAGUGAGGAAUAUUGGUCAAUGGGCGUAAGCCUGAACCAGCCAAGUCGCGUGAGGGAUGAAGGUUCUAUGGAUCGUAAACCUCUUUUAUAAGGGAGUAAAGUGUGGGACGUGUCCUGUUUUGUAUUUACCUUAUGAAUAAGGAUCGGCUAACUCAGUGCCAGCAGCCGCGGUAAUACGGAGGAUCCGAGCGUUAGCCGGAUUUAUUGGGUUUAAAGGGUGCGUAGGCGGCCUUUUAAGUCAGCGGUGAAAGUCGGGGGCUCAACCAUGGAAUUGCCGUUGAAACUGGGAGGCUUGAGUAUGUUUGAGGCAGGCGGAAUGCGUGGUGUAGCGGUGAAAUGCGUAGAUAUCACGCAGAACACCGAUUGCGAAGGCAGCCUGCCAAGCCAUGACUGACGCUGAUGCACGAAAGCGUGGGGAUCAAACAGGAUUAGAUACCCUUGUAGUC
RNAcentral lists this ribosomal RNA (460 nucleotides) under uncultured bacterium. RNAcentral describes it as "partial 16S ribosomal RNA". It matches the Rfam family "Bacterial small subunit ribosomal RNA", at positions 338 to 795 of the family's 1533-position model. The record is from RNAcentral.